GGAAUAAAAGUCGUAACAAGGUUUCCGUAGGUGAACCUGCGGAAGGAUCAUUACUGAGUGAGGGCCCCUCGGGGUCCAACCUCCCACCCGUGUUUAACGAACCUUGUUGCUUCGGCGGGCCCGCCUCACGGCCGCCGGGGGGCAUCUGCCCCCGGGCCCGCGCCCGCCGAAGCCACCUGUGAACGCUGUCUGAAGUAUGCAGUCUGAGACAAUUAUUAAAUUAAUUAAAACUUUCAACAACGGAUCUCUUGGUUCCG
Molecule: unclassified non-coding RNA, 257 nt
Filed under: plant metagenome
Description: partial contains small subunit ribosomal RNA, internal transcribed spacer 1, and 5.8S ribosomal RNA
Rfam family: Eukaryotic small subunit ribosomal RNA (bases 1-53)
Source: RNAcentral